UACAGAGGCCCCAAGCGUUACUGAGAAUCACUGGGUUUAAAGGGUGCGUAGGUGGUCCGUUAAGUCAGUUGUGAAAUCCCCGGGCUCAACCCGGGAACUGCUUCUGAUACUGGCGGACUUGAGGCCGGUAGGGGUCACUGGAACAGACGGUGGAGCGGUGAAAUGCGUAGAUAUCGUCUGGAACGCCGGUGGUGAAGACGGGUGACUUGGCCGGUUCUGACACUGAGGCACGAAAGCGUGGGGAGCGAACCGG
This 253-nucleotide ribosomal RNA is filed under the name uncultured bacterium. RNAcentral's name for it is "partial 16S ribosomal RNA". It matches the Rfam family "Bacterial small subunit ribosomal RNA", at positions 524 to 776 of the family's 1533-position model. The record is from RNAcentral.